Molecule: ribosomal RNA, 254 nt
Filed under: uncultured bacterium
Lineage: Bacteria
Description: partial 16S ribosomal RNA
Rfam family: Bacterial small subunit ribosomal RNA
Source: RNAcentral
UACGUAGGGUGCAAGCGUUGUCCGGAAUUAUUGGGCGUAAAGAGCUUGUAGGCGGUUUGUCGCGUCUGCUGUGAAAUUUCGGGGCUCAACCCCGAACUUGCAGUGGGUACGGGCAGACUAGAGUGUGGUAGGGGAGACUGGAAUUCCUGGUGUAGCGGUGAAAAUGCGCAGAUAUCAGGAGGAACACCGAUGGCGAAGGCAGGUCUCUGGGCCAUAACUGACGCUGAGAAGCGAAAGCGUGGGGAGCAAACAGG